GACGAACGCUGGCAGCGUGCCUAAUACAUGCAAGUAGAACGCUGAAGGAGGAGCUUGCUUCUCUGGAUGAGUUGCGAACGGGUGAGUAACGCGUAGGUAACCUGCCUGGUAGCGGGGGAUAACUAUUGGAAACGAUAGCUAAUACCGCAUAAGAGUAGAUGUUGCAUGACAUUUGCUUAAAAGGUGCAAUUGCAUCACUACCAGAUGGACCUGCGUUGUAUUAGCUAGUUGGUGGGGUAACGGCUUACCAAGGCGACGAUACAUAGCCGACCUGAGAGGGUGAUCGGCCACACUGGGACUGAGACACGGCCCAGACUCCUACGGGAGGCAGCAGUAGGGAAUCUUCGGCAAUGGACGGAAGUCUGACCGAGCAACGCCGCGUGAGUGAAGAAGGUUUUCGGAUCGUAAAGCUCUGUUGUAAGAGAAGAACGAGUGUGAGAGUGGAAAGUUCACACUGUGACGGUAUCUUACCAGAAAGGGACGGCUAACUACGUG
RNAcentral lists this ribosomal RNA (495 nucleotides) under uncultured bacterium. RNAcentral describes it as "partial 16S ribosomal RNA". It matches the Rfam family "Bacterial small subunit ribosomal RNA", at positions 28 to 507 of the family's 1533-position model. The record is from RNAcentral.